Arabidopsis lyrata subsp. lyrata is the source of this 366-nucleotide long non-coding RNA. RefSeq lists it as uncharacterized. The record is from RefSeq and is a predicted model, not a curated record. The transcript has 3 exons. Lineage: Eukaryota; Viridiplantae; Streptophyta; Magnoliopsida; Brassicales; Brassicaceae.
CUAAUUAUGUUUUGCAAGUGUUGCUGAGUGCACUAAAGGAAUUUUGAAGGUUUUCUUUAUCUCUAAUCACAGGACAGGUUAAUAGCUUCUUUCUUUGUCUCUUAUGAUGAGUCUUUGUACUGCAGUUUCAUUACUUUGACUAUAUAAAUCGUUUUAAGAUCAAACUGUAAUAUGACUUUUAAAACUUAUACUCUUUCUCCAAUUAUGUUUUGCAAGUGUUGCUGAGUGCAUUGAUGGAAGUUUAAAGAUUUUAUUUAUCUCCAUUGACAGGACAGGAUACUAAAGGUUUUAAAUUAAGCUUAUAUCAUAUAAUGCUGGACAAAGAUUGGGUGCAUCUUUGCAGAGCUGAUCCAGCUUAUCAAAGAG